CCACUCUGUUUGUUAUCUCCCAUCAACAGAUACUUGGCAGUAUGUAUGUUAAAGCCACACAAUAAGAAAGGAAGAAAUUACAUAUAUAUGAAAAGGCACUUUUCAAGCAAGUAAUUUCACGCGGAUGUAAUAUUACAAGGGGUUGGUUUAUAUCUGCUAACAACCAAGUUAACAGUAUAGGCUAUUGGUCUAAGGAGAUUUGGUUGACUAGCCAUUACAAAAUUAAGUUGCAAUCUAAUUAUCCCAUGAUUACAAAUGAAUCAAAUAGUAGCAACAGCAGCAGUAGCCCAGCAACAGCAGCAGUAGCCCAGCAACAGCAGCAUUCAGUGAAAAGCCAUAUAAUACUAACAUCCAAAAUCUGCAUAAUGCUUUUGUUUGAUCAACUUUUCUUGCAUAAUCUGAUUUCUUUUAUCUUUUACUAAGCCAAACAAAAUUCAAACGAAGUAUUGUUUCCUAGCUGGAAUCUCACCUUUUUUUUCUUUUUUUCUGAGUCGUGCCUUAAAUGAGCUUGCCUUCCUCUUUGGACUUCGGAUAUGUUCUAAGAAUUUGCUUGUAGCUAGCUUGGUUACCCGAACCCACUCAAAAUAGCUGACAGUCACACCUCCAGCAUUUACAUAUAUAAUAAUUUUCAGCACAAAAUCUACAGAAUCUACAGUACUAUAACUCCUUUAUUAGACAUAAUCUACAGCACAAAAUAAUUUUCUUUUAUACAACAGAUAUUUUUUCCUUCAAAUCAGUACAAUUUAGACUUAGAACCAAACUGAAACAACUUGGAAGCAAUGUUACCUCGUCUGCUUCAGGAUCAGUAGGAGCUGCUUCUAUGAUGCAAACCCUAACUUCAAACCGGCAAUUGAAAGGGGCUUUGAGAGAGAAUCGGGGAAAGGGGUUCUGACAAUUCGCGAUUCGCAAAUGGUUGAGACAGGAAUUCGAGAAUCGCGAAUUUCAAAUGGGUUCGAAUUUCAGACUUGUUUUGAGAGAGAGAGGGAAUUUGUGGAAAACAUGCUCAGAUUGCUCAGAAUCAGGGAGAGAGAAUCGCGAAAUGGGUUCGAAUGGCAGAAAGGGAUUUCAAAUGUGUUCGAGAGAAUUGGCAGAAUUUGUGACCGGGUCUUUGCUUCAGUUUGCCCUUCUGUGACCCGCGUAUUUUUUUACCCUUGGUCCGUUGCUAGUCCGUGUUUUUGGUCCGCUGCAGAUCCG
This 1194-nucleotide long non-coding RNA is filed under the name Panax ginseng (ginseng). RNAcentral's name for it is "long non-coding RNA (PGIN_LNC002087)". Lineage: Eukaryota; Viridiplantae; Streptophyta; Magnoliopsida; Apiales; Araliaceae. The record is from RNAcentral.